UCCAUGUCCUAUAGUUCCCUUCUGUCUGUAGAAAGCAAUAUCAUCCAGGUACGCACAAGUAAAAUCCUGGAAGCCAUCGAGGAGUCUAUCCACCAAGCGAAGAAAGGUGUCCAGGGCAUUUUUCAUCCCGAAUGGCAUGACCUUAAAUUGGUACAAGCCAAAGGGGUGAUGAAAGCGACUUGGGGAUGGCCUCCUCAGCCAGGGGAAUCUUCCAAUAUCCUUUGCAGAGAUCUAGGGUGGUCAGAUAGUGUCCCCUGGCUAUACGAUCUAAGAGUUCAUCUACCCAGGGCAUCAGGUAGGCAUCUGUCAUGGUCC
Pelobates cultripes (western spadefoot toad) is the source of this 315-nucleotide non-coding RNA. The record is from the annotation of a GenBank genome assembly. NCBI's taxonomy places the organism in Eukaryota, Metazoa, Chordata, Amphibia, Anura, Pelobatidae.